RNAcentral lists this small RNA (107 nucleotides) under Neobacillus massiliamazoniensis. RNAcentral describes it as "Bacillus sp. LF1 PyrR". It matches the Rfam family "PyrR binding site". Rfam says of the family: This family represents the PyrR binding site and terminator structure. This RNA structure is found upstream of a variety of genes involved in pyrimidine biosynthesis and transport. The alignment also includes a portion of the antiterminator structure. Lineage: Bacteria; Bacillati; Bacillota; Bacilli; Caryophanales; Bacillaceae. The record is from RNAcentral.
UAUUCCUUUUAAAUCAGUCCAGAGAGACUGAAAAGGGCGAGUAAUCUUGAAAUAGGUUUAGUUUGCCCAUGCCCUUUUGUCCUCUGUGACAAAAGGGCAUUUUUAGU